CCUACGGGAGGCAGCAGUGGGGAAUUUUGGACAAUGGGCGCAAGCCUGAUCCAGCAAUGCCGCGUGAGUGAAGAAGGCCUUCGGGUUGUAAAGCUCUUUUGUCAGGGAAGAAACGGUCUACUCUAAUACAGUGGGCUAAUGACGGUACCUGAAGAAUAAGCACCGGCUAACUACGUGCCAGCAGCCGCGGUAAUACGUAGGGUGCAAGCGUUAAUCGGAAUUACUGGGCGUAAAGCGUGCGCAGGCGGUUAUAUAAGUCAGAUGUGAAAUCCCCGGGCUCAACCUGGGAACUGCAUUUGAGACUGUAUGGCUAGAGUGUGUCAGAGGGGGGUAGAAUUCCACGUGUAGCAGUGAAAUGCGUAGAUAUGUGGAGGAAUACCGAUGGCGAAGGCAGCCCCCUGGGAUAACACUGACGCUCAUGCACGAAAGCGUGGGGAGCAAACAGGAUUAGAUACCCUGGUAGUCCACGCCCUAAACGAUGUCUACUAGUUGUCGGGACUUAAUUGUCUUGGUAACGCAGCUAACGCGUGAAGUAGACCGCCUGGGGAGUACGGUCGCAAGAUUAAAACUCAAAAGGAAUUGACGG
RNAcentral lists this ribosomal RNA (586 nucleotides) under uncultured bacterium. RNAcentral describes it as "bacterial SSU rRNA". It matches the Rfam family "Bacterial small subunit ribosomal RNA", at positions 338 to 916 of the family's 1533-position model. The record is from RNAcentral.